RNAcentral lists this ribosomal RNA (497 nucleotides) under uncultured bacterium. RNAcentral describes it as "partial 16S ribosomal RNA". It matches the Rfam family "Bacterial small subunit ribosomal RNA", at positions 37 to 507 of the family's 1533-position model. The record is from RNAcentral.
GGGGGGGGGGGGGGGGGGGGGUAAUGGGGGGGGGUCGGGCGGACGGGUGAGGGGGUGGGUGCGCUGACGGGAGCGGCGGACGGGGGAGUAACCCGUGGGGCACCUACCGAGAAGGAUUGGAUAACUUCGGGAAAACGGAGAUAAUAGCGGAGGAUAUAUUGAAACGCAUGAUUCGCUAGUGAAAGACGGGUUUGCUGUCACGUAUACAUGGAUCCGCGCCGCAUUAGCUAGUUGGUAAGUGAACGGCUUACGCAGGCAACGAUGCGCAGCCGAACUGAGAGGGUGAUCGGGCACACUGGAACUGAGACACGGUCCAGACUCCUACGGGAGGCAGAAGUCGGGAAUCUUCCGCAAUGGGCGAAAGCCUGACGGAGCAUCGCCGCGUGAGUGAUGAAGGUCUUCGGAUCGUAAAACUCUGUUAUUAGGGAAGAACAAAUGUGUAAGUAACUAUGCACGUCUUGACGGUACCUAAUCAGAAAGCCACGGCUAACUACGUG